Long non-coding RNA from Corythoichthys intestinalis (scribbled pipefish), 416 nucleotides. RefSeq lists it as uncharacterized. The record is from RefSeq and is a predicted model, not a curated record. The transcript has 3 exons. Lineage: Eukaryota; Metazoa; Chordata; Actinopteri; Syngnathiformes; Syngnathidae.
AAGAAAUGCCGCAUCCAAGCGAGUGAGCGAGCGAAGUGAGAGAGGGAAACACUUCUACGAGCCUACGUUCUUUGUUAAUGUUAAUAUCUACAGAGGCAACGCCUGGACGCGUUUGAUUUCUUUCAGUCCGGCCUCUCCGCAGCUUCCAGACACACUAAUGACACGGCCUGGAGACAUCGGCGGGCUCUUUGAUACACGACGGGACUUGUUUUUAUUGAUUGCAGCAGUCUGGAAAAAGACAAAAACAGAAAACCAAGGAUCGGUGAGGGAACAUUAUAAAGAUAAAGAAUCUCAAAGGGAUAUUGGACCGCCCAGACCAGAGAAAGAAAAUUUCUUGUGAACUGCUUUCACAAAACAAAAGGUUUUGUUUGAGCAAUUGAAUAGUUUUAUGGCCAUAAUGCUAAGAUUAUUUUUCU